UUCUGACCCUCGGUUGUGAUGCCCAUCUGCGGGGCCCUGACGCACUUCCCCGGCGCCAGGUCUUCAGCGGAUGGGGAUCAGAGCCCAGUGGUCCGGCCCG
Non-coding RNA from Microbacterium sp. 67-17, 100 nucleotides. The record is from Rfam. Lineage: Bacteria; Bacillati; Actinomycetota; Actinomycetes; Micrococcales; Microbacteriaceae.